This 253-nucleotide ribosomal RNA is filed under the name uncultured bacterium. RNAcentral describes it as "partial 16S ribosomal RNA". It matches the Rfam family "Bacterial small subunit ribosomal RNA", at positions 524 to 776 of the family's 1533-position model. The record is from RNAcentral.
GACAGAGGUCCCGAGCGUUAGGCGGAAUCACUGGGCUUAAAGCGUGUGUAGGCGGGUCGUUAAGUGCCUUGUGAAAUCCCAUGGCUCAACCAUGGAACUGCUGGGCAUACUGGCGAUCUUGUGCCACCUAGGGGCGAGCGGAACAGAUGGUGGAGCGGUGAAAUGCGUAGAUAUGCGGAGGAACACCGAUGGCGAAGGCAAUCCCCUGGGCCUGCACUGACGCUCAUGCACGAAAGCGUGGGGAGCAAACAGG